GUUCAAGUCAUUUCUCAUCCUAUUCUGAGGUUUAAGGACACAAUGAUAUCAACACGAACAUUUUGUAGCUUUGAGUGCAUGCGUGUUAGAUUUGAAGUUAUCUACUGUACAUGCUGUAUUCCUAAACAUUGACAAAGUUUACUUUUAGCAGAAAUACACCUUUAAAAAUGCAUUUGUUUUUCUUCUAGGAAAAUGCAUGAAAAAUAUUAAUGACUCACUCUGAGCUACGCAGAUUUUUGUUAUCUCAGAUGCUCAACGGUAACCACUCGAGUAACAUUUCUGUCCAGCACAAAGAGAAGUGCAGAGGUGGAUGCUGGUGUAAUCUAUCCCAUAUGUCGACUUUCUGGAAAGCACACAGUUAUAAAAUCCCACUCUUCUGCAGGGACCCUACGCCGAGCCUGCUUCAUCAAAUGAAAAACAGAACCAGGACCACCAUGCAGCGCUGUGUCUGUGGGAGGCUUUAAAAGAAGUCCAGGUGUCACAAAGAAGACAGAGCAACAUUGGUUUAGGAAAAGUGGAUCAUCUUUGCCUCAUCAGCCAGGCCAUUUUCUACAGGACGACGGAUCCCGAAGCCCCUGGCAGCCCAACGUUGCCAUCAUCUCCGUAACUGGCAGCUAUAUUGUCCACAGUAGCAGCUGCGACUCGCCUCGGGGACGAAGCUCUUGUCUCACCGCACAUGGUCUACAAACCCUGCAUGACAAGUGCUUUCUCCGUGCUACGAUGGCGAGAACAGAGGUGCCAGAUCAGUUUCCAUGACUCCCCUGCAGAAUGCCAGCGAUGAGCUGCAGUGAACAUGACAGUGUGGUGGGUUUGGUCUGUUAUUAUUGUGACUUCCUGUGGCUAACCACCAUGCUGCGGGUGUGCACACACACACACACACACACACACAAACCAUCAGACACCUGAGAUGUUCUCGGAGUCCUGACGACUGAUAUAACAAAACCUGACAAAGCUUUUUCCUUUGAAAGUGUCCAUGGGAGAAUGUUUAAGCAGGCAGAACGCUAACUUAUAUUCACCACCUAUGUUACCUUCCCAAGAAGCAACUAAUGCUACA
This is a long non-coding RNA of Cyprinus carpio carpio, 1054 nucleotides long. The record is from Ensembl. Lineage: Eukaryota; Metazoa; Chordata; Actinopteri; Cypriniformes; Cyprinidae.